CCUACGGGAGGCAGCAGUGAGGAAUAUUGGUCAAUGGGCUUACGCCUGAACCAGCCAAGUCGCGUGAGGGAGGACUGCUCUCUGGGUUGUAAACCUCUUUUGUCAGGGAGCAACGCCGGCUACGUGUAGCCGGACUGAGAGUACCUGAAGAAAAAGCAUCGGCUAUCUCCGUGCCAGCGCCGGCGGUAAUACGGGGGACGCAGGCGUUAUCCGUCUUUAUUGGGUUUAAAGGUUGCGUAAGCGGAAUGCCAAGUCAGCGGUAAAAUCGCGGGGCUAAACCUCGAUCCGCCGUUGAAACUGGCGUUCUUGAGUGGGCGAGAGGUAUGCGGAAUGCGUGGUGUAGCGGUGAAAUGCGUAGAUAGCACGCAGAACUCCGGUGGCGAAGGCAGCAUACCGGCGCCCAACUGACGCUGAGGCACGAAAGCGUGGGUAUCGAACAGGAUUAGAUACCCUGGUAGUC
Molecule: ribosomal RNA, 460 nt
Filed under: uncultured bacterium
Lineage: Bacteria
Description: partial 16S ribosomal RNA
Rfam family: Bacterial small subunit ribosomal RNA
Source: RNAcentral